AGUGAACGCUGGCGGCGCGCCUAACACAUGCAAGUCGAACGAGAAGGCGUAGCAAUACGCUUGUAAAGUGGCGAACGGGUGAGGAAUACGUGGGUAACCUACCCUCGAGUGGGGAAUAACCAACCGAAAGGUUGGCUAAUGCCGCGUACGCUUCCAUCUCUUCGGAGGUGGAAGGAAAGCUGUACCGUGGGUACAGCGCUCAAGGAUGGGCUCACGUCCUAUCAGCUUGUUGGUAGGGUAACGGCCUACCAAGGCAACGACGGGUAGCUGGUCUGAGAGGACGAUCAGCCACACUGGCACUGCGACACGGGCCAGACUCCUACGGGAGGCAGCAGUGAGGAAUAUUGCGCAAUGGGCGAAAGCCUGACGCAGCGACGCCGCGUGGGGGAUGAAGGUCUUCGGGUUGUAAACCGCUUUUGUCGGGGAAGAAACGCUCCGAGCUAAUACCUCCGGAGUAAUGACGGUACCUGAAGAAUAAGCACCGGCUAACUACGUGCCAGCCGCCGCCGUAAU
RNAcentral lists this ribosomal RNA (513 nucleotides) under uncultured bacterium. RNAcentral's name for it is "bacterial SSU rRNA". It matches the Rfam family "Bacterial small subunit ribosomal RNA", at positions 29 to 524 of the family's 1533-position model. The record is from RNAcentral.